This is a long non-coding RNA of Physeter macrocephalus (sperm whale), 492 nucleotides long. RefSeq lists it as uncharacterized. The record is from RefSeq and is a predicted model, not a curated record. The transcript is spliced from 5 exons. Lineage: Eukaryota; Metazoa; Chordata; Mammalia; Artiodactyla; Physeteridae.
CAGAGAGAUACUAUAUAGGUACUGUUUUGGGUACCGAGGAUACAGAGGUUAUCACAGAAUACUGAGUAGAGUUCCCUGUGCUAGACACUAAUAUUUACUGGAAGUACUUACCAUACUAAGUACUAUAAUACAUGCAACAGUCCAGGGCAAUGCAGCUAAUACUAUCCUCAUUUUUUGGAGACAGAAGUUGAGUCUCAACAAUUUAAAGUCUUGCCUCACAAGUUUUUCAGAUGUUAAAACAACCACCAAAUGGAAGAAAUUAAGUACUUGAUGAUAGUGAUCAAGUAGCCCGAGGACCUACUGAUGCCUAAGGAUUGAUAAUGUCAACUGCCCUGUUACCUCACCAUCAACCAGAGCAUUGUGCAUGAGCUGAUCACAUACCCUCGGACACCCUUCCCCCACCUGGUCUUUAAAAAUGCUUUGCUGAAACCCGUGGGGGAGUUCAGGGUGUUUCUGAGUAGAAGCCACCUGUUCUCCUUGCAUGGCCCUGUA